Molecule: ribosomal RNA, 492 nt
Filed under: uncultured bacterium
Lineage: Bacteria
Description: partial 16S ribosomal RNA
Rfam family: Bacterial small subunit ribosomal RNA
Source: RNAcentral
AGUGAACGCUGGCGGUAGGCCUAACACAUGCGAGUCGAACGGCAGCACAGUAAGAGCUUGCUCUUACGGGUGGCGAGUGGCGGACGGGUGAGGAAUACAUCGGAAUCUACUUUUUCGCGGGGGAUAACGUAGGGAAACUUACGCUAAUACCGCAUACGACCUACGGGUGAAAGCAGGGGAUCUUCGGACCUUGCGCGAUUGAAUGAGCCGAUGUCGGAUUAGCUAGUUGGCGGGGUAAAGGCCCACCAAGGCGACGAUCCGUAGCUGGUCUGAGAGGAUGAUCAGCCACACUGGAACUGGGACACGGUCCAGACUCCUACGGGAGGCAGCAGUGGGGAAUAUUGGACAAUGGGCGCAAGCCUGAUCCAGCCAUACCGCGUGGGUGAAGAAGGCCUUCGGGUUGUAAAGCCCUUUUGUUGGGAAAGAAAAGCAGCAGGUUAAUACCCCGCUGUUCUGACGGUACCCAACGAAUAAGCACCGGCUAACUUCGUG